CCUACGGGUGGCUGCAGUGGGGAAUAUUGGACAAUGGGCGAAAGCCUGAUCCAGCCAUGCCGCGUGUGUGAAGAAGGCCUUCGGGUUGUGAAGCACUUUCAGUGGGGAAGAAAGCCUUGGGGCUAAUACCCUCGAGGAAGGACAUCACCCACAGAAGAAGCACCGGCUAACUCCGUGCCAGCAGCCGCGGUAAUACGGAGGGUGCGAGCGUUAAUCGGAAUUACUGGGCGUAAAGCGCGCGUAGGCGGUCUGAUAAGCCGGUUGUGAAAGCCCCGGGCUCAACCUAGGAACGGCAUCCGGAACUGUCAGGCUAGAGUGCAGGAGAGGAAGGUAGAAUUCCCGGUGUAGCGGUGAAAUGCGUAGAGAUCGGGAGGAAUACCAGUGGCGAAGGCGGCCUUCUGGACUGACACUGACGCUGAGGUGCGAAAGCGUGGGUAGCAAACAGGAUUAGAUACCCGAGUAGUC
Molecule: ribosomal RNA, 465 nt
Filed under: Vreelandella stevensii
Lineage: Bacteria; Pseudomonadati; Pseudomonadota; Gammaproteobacteria; Oceanospirillales; Halomonadaceae
Description: partial 16S ribosomal RNA
Rfam family: Bacterial small subunit ribosomal RNA
Source: RNAcentral